GGUGAACGCUAGCGGCAGGCCUAACACAUGCAAGUCGAGGGGUAGCAGGAUUAAGCUUGCUUAAUUGCUGACGACCGGCGCACGGGUGCGUAACGCGUAUGCAACCUACCUUAUACUGGGGUAUAGCCCGGAGAAAUUCGGAUUAAUCCCCCAUAGUACUAAUGAAUCGCAUGGUUUAUUAGGUAAAGCAUUGCGGUAUAAGAUGGGCAUGCGUCCUAUUAGCUAGAUGGUGAGGUAACGGCUCACCAUGGCUACGAUAGGUAGGGGGCCUGAGAGGGUGCUCCCCCACACUGGUACUGAGACACGGACCAGACUCCUACGGGAGGCAGCAGUGAGGAAUAUUGGUCAAUGGGCGCAAGCCUGAACCAGCCAUGCCGCGUGCAGGAAGAAUGCCCUAUGGGUUGUAAACUGCUUUUAUUUGGGAAUAAACCUCUUUACGUGUAGAGAGCUGAAGGUACCAGAUGAAGAAGCCCCGGCUAACUCCGUGCCAGCCGCCGCAGUAA
RNAcentral lists this ribosomal RNA (503 nucleotides) under uncultured bacterium. RNAcentral's name for it is "partial 16S ribosomal RNA". It matches the Rfam family "Bacterial small subunit ribosomal RNA", at positions 28 to 523 of the family's 1533-position model. The record is from RNAcentral.